GAAUUGCGAUAAGUAAUGUGAAUUGCAGAUUUCCAGUGAAUCAUCGAAUCUUUGAACGCACCUUGCGCUCCUUGGUAUUCCGAGGAGCAUGCCUGUUUGAGUGUCAUUUAAUUCUCAACCAAUCCUGCUUUGAAAGGCAGGGUGUGGCUUGGACUUUGGGGGUUGCUGGCAGAAACCGUCAGCUCCCCUUAAAUGCAUUAGCAAUUCAGUCAUGCCAGUCUUUGACAUGCACGGCCUCGGACGUGAUAAUGAUCGUCCUCGCUGGAGUGUCUUUCCAUGAGACUUGUGCGUGCGGGGGAUCGCUUACAAUCACCAAAAGUGUCUCCAGGCUCUAGCUUAGCCACUAGGCAGUCAAACUUAUCUGGCUGGCGAACGCAAGCAAGAUUACGAGAGACUUUUCUUUCAAAGAGACUUGACCUCAAAUCAGGUAGGACUACCCGCUGAACUUAA
This 450-nucleotide ribosomal RNA is filed under the name Phylloporus aff. bellus 150-30. RNAcentral's name for it is "eukaryotic LSU rRNA". The stretch from base 1 to 106 matches the Rfam family "5.8S ribosomal RNA", at positions 50 to 154 of the family's 154-position model. Lineage: Eukaryota; Fungi; Basidiomycota; Agaricomycetes; Boletales; Boletaceae. The record is from RNAcentral.